AGUGAACGCUGGCGGUAGGCCUAACACAUGCAAGUCGAACGGCAGCACAGUAAGAGCUUGCUCUUACGGGUGGCGAGUGGCGGACGGGUGAGGAAUACAUCGGAAUCUACUUUUUCGUGGGGGAUAACGUAGGGAAACUUACGCUAAUACCGCAUACGACCUACGGGUGAAAGCAGGGGAUCUUCGGACCUUGCGCGAUUGAAUGAGCCGAUGUCGGAUUAGCUAGUUGGCGGGUUAAAGGCCCACCAAGGCGACGAUCCGUAUCUGGUCUGAGAGGAUGAUCAGACAAACUGGAAGGGAGACACGGACCAGACUACGACGGGAGGAAGCAGUGGGGAAUAUUGGACAAUGGGCGAAAGCAUGAUCCAGCAAUACCGCGUGGGUGAAGAAGGACUUAGGGUUGUAAAGCCCUUUUGUUGGGAAAGAAAAGCAGCAGGUUAAUACCACGAUGUAAUGACGGUACCCAAAGAAUAAGCACCGGCCAACUUCGUG
RNAcentral lists this ribosomal RNA (492 nucleotides) under uncultured bacterium. RNAcentral's name for it is "partial 16S ribosomal RNA". It matches the Rfam family "Bacterial small subunit ribosomal RNA", at positions 29 to 507 of the family's 1533-position model. The record is from RNAcentral.